UACCAGCACCCCGAGUGGUCGGGACGAUUAUUGGGCCUAAAGCAUCCGUAGCCGGUCCUGCAAGUCUUCCGUUAAAUCCAGCUGCUCAACAGAUGGGCUGCGGGGGAUACUACAGGGCUAGGAGGCGGGAGAGGCAAGCGGUACUUUAUGGGUAGGGGUAAAAUCCGUUGAUCCAUAGAAGACCACCAGUGGCGAAGGCGGCUUGCCAGAAUGCGCUCGACGGUGAGGGAUGAAAGCUGGGGGAGCAAACCGG
Molecule: ribosomal RNA, 253 nt
Filed under: uncultured bacterium
Lineage: Bacteria
Description: partial 16S ribosomal RNA
Rfam family: Archaeal small subunit ribosomal RNA
Source: RNAcentral